Molecule: long non-coding RNA, 1549 nt
Organism: Homo sapiens (human)
Lineage: Eukaryota; Metazoa; Chordata; Mammalia; Primates; Hominidae
Exons: 3
Source: RefSeq, a predicted model, not a curated record
UGAGCCACUGCGCCUGGCCUGAAGCUCUUUUUCUUUAGAAGACCAUGCUGCAGAAACUUCAAAAUACAAAAGAAUGCUGCUAUCUACUAUCUGGUGAAGUAUUUUAAGAGGACUGCAAAAAACUAGGUUGUGCAUACUGACCCUGAAUCAAAUCAGGUUUCUGCCUACAAGAAGGAAGAAGAAAUGGCAGCUAGGUUCUCUCUCUUUGCCUGCCGCCAUCUACGUAAGAUGUGACUUGCUCCUCCUUGCCUUCUGCCAUGAUUGUGAGGCCUCCCCAGCCAUGUGCAACUGUAAGUACAUUAAACCUCUUUCUUUCGUAAAUUGCCCAGUCUUGAGUAUAUCUUUAUUAGCAGCAUGAAAAUUCUGCUAAUAAACACCUGUAUCUCCAAACAAGCUGAUAGCUUCAACUGUUAUAUAAAGUAUACACAUGCUCAGUGUUGGUGAGAGGGGUUAAUCUUUGUCUUCACGAAACAUUGCUCAUUCCUUCAGUGUGUCCUUAUGUUGGAUUAUAGGGAGCUGUGCACAGGAGUCUCUCUUGCUAAGCUGGACCUUUGGGAGCCACAGAUGGGAAGCCGUUUGCCCCUCGCAUAAGUUCCCUGAUUAUUCAAUAUGUCCCCAGUAUACUGUCACUUCAGGAGGCCCUACUUUAGAAGAAACAUGGUCUAUGAUGGUGCUGUGGAUUAUCUGUUUUUGUUGUUGUUUAUUUGUUUUUUGAGACUGAGUCUCACUCUGUUGUCCAGGCUGUAGUGCAGGGGUGCAAUCUCGGCUCAUUUAAACCUCUGCCUGCCAGGUUCAAGUGAUUCUUCUGCCUCAGCCUCCAAAGUAGCUGGGAUUACAGGCACCCACCACCAUGCCUAGCUAAUUUUUGUAUUUUUAGUACAGAUGGGGUUUCACCAUGUUGGCCAGGCUGGUCUUGAACUUCUGACCUCAAGUGAUCUGCCCACCUUGGCUUCCCAAAGUGCUGGGAUUACAGGCUGUUUUUCUUAAUGUAUAGUUAAUUUUGGUUACAGAGCUGGCAGAGACAAAUGCCUAUUGGCAAUAGGAUUUAGACCUAUUAUCUGAGGACGGUUCCUCAAAGCUCAAAGUGAAGGAAAAAAGAGAUAAAAGCAGAUCUUUUUUUGCAAUUCUGUUCCUUCAGGCCAUGAAACUUAAAUGUCAUCUUUUAGGUAAUGGAGAGCCAUGAAAGUCUUUAACCUUAACUCUAUGAGGACCUCCUUGGCAACAUGUGGCAGAUUAUAUUUUCCAAAGAUGGCCAUAAUGUCUCCCAUCCCCCAUGCUUUUCUGCAAUGUGACCUUGUCAUUCCCUCAUCAAGAGGUGGAUUGAAUUCUCCCACUGAAUCUGGCUGGCCUUAGUGAUUCCCAUGUGAGGUUAUCAGAUUUGGUAAAUGAAAAUGCAAGAUGCCCAGUUGAAUUUGAAUUUCAGAUGAACAACAAAUGGCAUUUGUUCUAUAUAAGUAUGUCUCAUUAAUAUAGUUCGGAUGUUUGUCCCCACCCAAAUCUCUUGUUGAAUUGUAAUCUGCAAUGCUGGAGGUGGGGCCUGGUGGGAGGU